CUGUCAUUUUGACAAAAUAAUCACAAAUAUACUACUGGUAUCUGAAAUACAGAGUGAGUAUGUACUUUAUGUAGUUUCACAAAAAAGUACACAUCAUCUGAUAUACCACCCUUUCCAGCUGGUUUUUGGAAAAUAAAUUAAUUCUAAUGAACCAUAAGUUAUUUUCUUUGCAAUAUAUUGUGAUUUUGUCCACUUUUUUCAAUGAUAACCUUCUUCUACAAAUUGCCUGAAACUGAACAGGCAAUUUGUAGAAUUUUGCUUCAAAAUUUCAGUCAUUUUACAAUAUGACUAGGUAUUUUUAGUCAUUUUGUAUAAUGCCUGUCAAGGUUAGGCAUUUUACAAAUUGCCUGAAUAUUCAGUCAUUUUACAAAAUGCCUAAAUUUAGAAAAUGCCUGUAACAUAUAUAUGUCUCUGGUAAAUUU
Molecule: long non-coding RNA, 422 nt
Filed under: Mytilus galloprovincialis (Mediterranean mussel)
Lineage: Eukaryota; Metazoa; Mollusca; Bivalvia; Mytilida; Mytilidae
Source: RNAcentral